AUAAGCCCACGGGUCGGCAUCGACCAGAGGGAAAAGGAGCAAUCCGCUUUGAGAUGGCCUCGCGUCCGAUUAGCUAGUUGGUGAGGUAACGGCCCACCAAGGCGACGAUCGGUAGCCGGACUGAGAGGUUGAACGGCCACAUUGGGACUGAGACACGGCCCAGACUCCUACGGGAGGCAGCAGUGGGGAAUAUUGCACAAUGGGGGAAACCCUGAUGCAGCGACGCCGCGUGGAGGAAGAAGGUCUUCGGAUUGUAAACUCCUGUUGUUGAGGAAGAUAAUGACGGUACUCAACAAGGAAGUGACGGCUAACUACGUGCCAGCAGCCGCGGUGAAACGUAGGUCACAAGCGUUGUCCGGAAUUACUGGGUGUAAAGGGAGCGCAGGCGGGAAGACAAGUUGGAAGUGAAAUCCAUGGGCUUAACCCAUGAACUGCUUUCAAAACUGUUUUUCUUGAGUAGUGCAGAGGUAGGCGGAAUUCCCGGUGUAGCGGUGGAAUGCGUAGAUAUCGGGAGGAACACCAGUGGCGAAGGCGGCCUACUGGGCACCAACUGACGCUGAGGCUCGAAAGUGUGGGUAGCAAACAGGAUUAGAUACCCUGGUAGUCCACACCGUAAACGAUGAUUACCAGGUGUUGGAGGAUUGACCCCUUCAGUGCCGCAGUUAACACAAUAAGUAAUCCACCUGGGGAGUACGACCGCAAGGUUGAAACUCAAAGGUAUUGACGGGGGCCCGCACAAGCAGUGGAGUAUGUGGUUUAAUUCGACGCAACGCGAAGGACCUUACCAAGUCUUGACAUCCGUUGACCGACAUAGAAAUAUGUUUUUCCUUCGGGACAGCGAGACAAGUGGUGCAUGGUUGUCGUCAGCUCGUGUCGUGAGAUGUUGGGUUAAGUCCCGCAACGAGCGCAACCCUUAUGGUCAGUUACUACGCAAGAGGACUCUGGCCAGACUGCCGUUGACAAAACGGAGGAAGGUGGGGAUGACGUCAAAUCAUCAUGCCCUUUAUGACUUGGGCUACACACGUACUACAAUGGCGUUAAACAAAGAGAAGCAAGACCGCGAGGUGGAGCAAAACUCAGAAACAACGUCCCAGUUCGGACUGCAGGCUGCAACUCGCCUGCACGAAGUCGGAAUUGCUAGUAAUCGUGGAUCAGCGUGCCACGGUGAAUACGUUCCCGGGCCUUGUACACACCGCCCGUCACACCAUGAGAGCCGGGGGGACCCGAAGUCGGUAGUCUAACCGCAAGGAGGACGCCGCCGAAGGUAAAACUGGUGAUUGGGGUGAAGUCGUAACAAGGU
Molecule: ribosomal RNA, 1300 nt
Filed under: metagenome
Description: bacterial SSU rRNA
Rfam family: Bacterial small subunit ribosomal RNA
Source: RNAcentral